GCGAGCGUGUGGGCGUUACUCUGAGCGCCCCCAGAAAGGGAGGGGCAGGCCGGCCGUGGGGGCCCGGGGUCUGCCAUUGGACACGACAAUGAUCUCACCCCGGAGCCCGCCCCUGGGGCGCCUCCUACACGGGAACAGAUGAGCCGGUGGUUGACCUCUGACCUUCCAGAAGGCUAGGCCAAGCCCUAUUAAACCUCUGGGCUAUGGGGUCCACUGUGAACCGCACUAGAGCUCUUACACAGCAGAUUUCUGUGCAUCUCGUCGCCUCUCUCAUUCCCGAAUUGCCCCAAAUUCGGUGGCACGUCUGGCCCUGAGGGGAGCACAUCACCCUCGUGAAGAGAAGGAUCUAGACGCUGGAAGAGACCUGGUCUCACAACACAUCCUGGGGGUUCCAGCGGCUAAGGCUCCCCUGGGCCCCGCCAUCUGGGAGCAGACAGCUGAGGAGUGGGCCUGGGCCCGGGAGCCUGUGGUGCUGAGAACGCAGCGCCUUGUUUUGGAGAUGUGUUCUGGGGUUGGAGGGGCAGCGGCCACUGUCAUUGGCUCGUCAGCCCCCCUUAGGGUGGAAGCCCUUGUUUUCCAUGUUUAUAGCCAGACAGCUAUGUAAAGGGCGGCGUGGAGCUGUCUGCACCGUGCUUUUCCUGGUACUGAGUGAAUGCCCAUCUUCACACCCUGGGCUGGCCGUGCAGGCCUGUGCCUGUGCUGGGGGCGAGGGUGUCGUGCUACCCCCGGAGCGUCCGCAGACCUGGACUUGGCUGGCUGUGCUUUCCCCGCGUCCUCCCACAGGAGGUGAUGGGUAGUGGCAGGAGCUGUGUCUUCCUGUCCCCGAGGGAGUUCACCAGCACACAGGAAGGUCUGGAGACGAGGCCACAUGUGGUCCACGUGAUCUGUGCUGCAGCUCAAGGAAAAACACCACCGUCCCUCUUCCUGCCCUGCUCCCGGGCACCUGCCAGGAGCCAGACGCCGCCCUCUCUGGGCACAGGACAGACGAGUUCCGGGGGCCUGGAGGGCCCACUCGGGUCCGCUUCCUGCCAGCCCCCGUGGACACCACCUGAGCGGCUCCCACAUCUGUCCUCUCCGCAGCCCAGGAACGCACCCCAGUGGAGGAAACAUGGGCGCCUCGCCUGGGAGUGGAGCCCACUACAAUGGAAGCUGUCAGUCCCUGGUGUUCUGAGCCGGGAGCAUGUUCUAGAAAGUAUCCACCAGGGAGUACCUGUGCCGUGGAGGGGGCUGAGACCAGGGUGGGCAGGGCAAGGCUGACCACAGGUGUCCACACUGGUAAAGGUGGGCUGGCAGAACCCCCAGAACAGCCACACAUGGCAGACAGGAGUCAGGCUUCUGAAAACCUGUGUGAAGCGGGUCUGCGUGGAUACCCUGCCUUGAUGAGAAGGAGGGGAUCGAGGGGCUGGGCCCACAACAAGGGAGACUGGUUGAGACCGCCCACCCUCCCUGUCUUCCCCGACUGACCGGCUGCAGCGCCCGCAGCUUCCCACAGGAAGGUCCUGCUGGCCGUGACGCCCGGCUCUGCGGGCCCCAUGGGGCAGGGCGGGCUGGGCCCUGGGGUGGUUUGAGCAGCCAUUGGUGGGAAAGGAGGCCAGGCCGGGUGUCCCAGGCAGGCUGGGGGCUGCUACGCCUGUGAGAGCGCCACAGCCCCUCGGGCACGGCCAGGGGACCCCCGCCCCCACGCAGGUGUGUCCCGAGCACCCGGGGGCUUCCGCAGGCUCUAAG
Molecule: long non-coding RNA, 1725 nt
Organism: Capra hircus (goat)
Lineage: Eukaryota; Metazoa; Chordata; Mammalia; Artiodactyla; Bovidae
Exons: 3
Source: RefSeq, a predicted model, not a curated record